RNAcentral lists this ribosomal RNA (335 nucleotides) under uncultured Ehrlichia sp. RNAcentral's name for it is "bacterial SSU rRNA". It matches the Rfam family "Bacterial small subunit ribosomal RNA", at positions 64 to 405 of the family's 1533-position model. Lineage: Bacteria; Pseudomonadati; Pseudomonadota; Alphaproteobacteria; Rickettsiales; Anaplasmataceae. The record is from RNAcentral.
GAACGGACAGUUAUUUAUAGCCUCGGCUAUAAGUAUCUGUUAGUGGCAGACGGGUGAGUAAUGCGUAGGAAUCUGCCUAGUAGUAUGGAAUAGCUAUUAGAAAUGAUAGGUAAUACUGUAUAAUCCCUGAGGGGGAAAGAUUUAUCGCUAUUAGAUGAGCCUACGUUAGAUUAGCUAGUUGGUAAGGUAAUGGCUUACCAAGGCAAUGAUCUAUAGCUGGUCUGAGAGGACGAUCAGCCACACUGGAACUGAGAUACGGUCCAGACUCCUACGGGAGGCAGCAGUGGGGAAUAUUGGACAAUGGGCGAAAGCCUGAUCCAGCUAUGCCGCGUGAG